Molecule: ribosomal RNA, 635 nt
Filed under: uncultured Microgenomates group bacterium
Lineage: Bacteria
Description: bacterial SSU rRNA
Rfam family: Bacterial small subunit ribosomal RNA
Source: RNAcentral
AUUUAUUGGGCGUAAAGAGUCUGUAGGUGGUAGAGUAAGUUACAAAUUAAAACUCAUCGGCUUAACCUUUGAACUGUUUGUAAUACUGCUAUACUAAGAGGGCGUUAGAGGCAAACGGAACCGACGGAGUAGGGGUGAAAUCCGUUGAUAUCGUCGGGAACACCAAAAGCGAAGGCAGUUUGCUGGGACGGCCCUGACACUGAGAGACGAAAGCGUGGGGAGCAAAAAGGAUUAGAUACCCUUGUAGUCCACGCUGUAAACGAUGGAUACUAGCUAUUGGCAGUGUCGACCCUGCCAGUGGCGAAGCUAACGCGUUAAGUAUCCCGCCUGGGAAGUACGGUGGCAACACUAAAACUCAAAGGAAUAGACGGGGACUCACACAAGCGGUGGACCAUGUGGCUUAAUUCGACGACAAACGAAGAACCUUACCAGGACUAGAAACCCCACUGACCAUCCUAUGAAAGUAGGACUUCGCAAGACAGUUGGGCAGGUGCUGCAUGGUUGUCGUCAGUUCGUGUCCUGAGACGUACCGUUAAUUCGGGUAACGAACGCAACCCUUGCUCUGUGUUUUACAUGUCACAGAGGACUGCCCGAGAUAAUUGGGAGGAAGGUGAGGAUGACGCCAAAUCAGCAUG